CAUCUGGGGUUUCACAUUCUUUAAAAGAAUGUUGGGUUUUUCAAACCAAUCCCAAAAAAAAGAGAGGAGAAUGUUGGGUUUUUAUUGAUUUGCUUGUAAGGAUUCAGAAAAUUUUAAUUCUUGAUGUGCCAUUUUUUUUUUUAAUAACUGGAGUAUUUCAAAGUUCUAACAGAAGUAGAAGGAGAGAGUUAUUCAAGAAAAAGAGGAUUCAGUGAUGGCUACAAGAGGUUGUGUUCUCCAGAGAAUUUACAGAGGAGAUGGAUGGAAUGAAGGAAAAACCACAAAAGCAUAUGUAUACUUUGAGUUCGAAGAUCAUGUUUUAACCCGUCGUUCUCCAUCCCGAUUUCAUUUCUAUGAGUCCUACAUCAAGUAGGCAGUGGCGGAUAUAGUGUGUUAGCAACGGGUUCAAUUGGGAACCUACAACAACUACAAAUACAGAGGUAGGACUCAUCAAGUAGGCAGUGGCGGAUGUUGAUAAUGGCACCCAAUCAUAAUCAACCUCUUGAUCAAAGACUCUCCCAGCAGGAUCGUCCUGUACUCUGUUGUUUAUAGGCAGCUCUUCCGUUAUGUCCAUUUCAAUCAACGCUCUGGCACACGAGAUCCUUGCUGAAUCAUCAGCAUAUAUAUGCCUCCCUAUUUCCUCUAGCAAUUCUGCUCAAAGUGAUCUUUCCCAAGCAGUUAGGAAAUAUUACCCACAGUGGAAUGGUUUUAGCACUUCGUCAUGAAAGUUAAUCUCAGCAGAUCAAGGCUUCAACAUUACCGGUUUAUUGUUAAGGAUGAUAGGAAAUAUUAAUGGGUAUGUUGUUGUUAAUGGUGUAAGGUCCCGAGUAUAAUACCUCGUUCCUAUCAUCCAUGCUACUGAAGAGUAUAACAAAAUGUCCUACAUGAAAUACUUGAGAUAGACGCUUUUAUUUA
Nicotiana attenuata is the source of this 915-nucleotide long non-coding RNA. RefSeq lists it as uncharacterized. The transcript has 3 exons. Lineage: Eukaryota; Viridiplantae; Streptophyta; Magnoliopsida; Solanales; Solanaceae. The record is from RefSeq and is a predicted model, not a curated record.